AUUGAACGCUGGCGGCAUGCUUUACACAUGCAAGUCAAACGGCAGCAUGGGUGCUUGCACCUGAUGGCGAGUGGCGAACGGGUGAGUAAUACAUCGGAACGUACCAAGUAAUGGGGGAUAACUACUCGAAAGAGUGGCUAAUACCGCAUACGCCCUAAGGGGGAAAGCAGGGGAUCUUCGGACCUUGCGUUCUUUGAGCGGCCGAUGUCUGAUUAGCUAGUUGGUGGGGUAAGAGCCUACCAAGGCGACGAUCAGUAGCGGGUCUGAGAGGAUGAUCCGCCACACUGGGACUGAGACACGGCCCAGACUCCUACGGGAGGCAGCAGUGGGGAAUUUUGGACAAUGGGCGAAAGCCUGAUCCAGCCAUGCCGCGUGUAUGAAGAAGGCCUUCGGGUUGUAAAGUACUUUUGUUAGGGAAGAAAAGCUUGUUGCUAAUAUCAGCAAGUCAUGACGGUACCUAAAGAAUAAGCACCGGCUAACUACGUGCCAGCCGCCGCCGUAA
Molecule: ribosomal RNA, 502 nt
Filed under: uncultured bacterium
Lineage: Bacteria
Description: partial 16S ribosomal RNA
Rfam family: Bacterial small subunit ribosomal RNA
Source: RNAcentral